CAACAUUUAGAGCAAGAAAAUGGAAUCAUUAGGGAGACUGGCAAUCAUUACAGCUCAUACAGUACCUCUGGGGCAGCUCAGGCAAUGAGUAUACUCUUCCAGCCAGGGGGUAUUAAUGAGGUUGCCAGAAGGUGGAUUUUUGUUGAAUGAACCACAGGACUUUGUAAAUUAAUGGAGUAAAGAAGCAAAAAGUAGAGAAUCUUUCCUCGAAAUUUCACCAGCAAAACUAACUUAAGGUUAUAUAUUAACUUGUUUCUCAAAGAAAAAAUAAGCAAAACAAGUUUUUGAUUGGGAAAUGCGUCCUUGUGAUCAAAGAUUCGGACUCUUACUCAACAAGUUAAAGACUGCCUGAAGUUACAUUAACAGGUUGAAUCUUUUUGCAUCUUGAAAAAGGAAAGAGUCGCUGUACAGGAUUUCUAGCAUUAUCAAAGAUGGUUUGAGAGGAGGAAUAAUGCAGCUGUGGAUCCGAGACUGAAUAAAAUA
Long non-coding RNA from Protopterus annectens (West African lungfish), 483 nucleotides. RefSeq lists it as uncharacterized. The record is from RefSeq and is a predicted model, not a curated record. The transcript is spliced from 5 exons. Lineage: Eukaryota; Metazoa; Chordata; Ceratodontiformes; Protopteridae.